Molecule: ribosomal RNA, 137 nt
Filed under: Ipomoea nil (Japanese morning glory)
Lineage: Eukaryota; Viridiplantae; Streptophyta; Magnoliopsida; Solanales; Convolvulaceae
Description: 5.8S ribosomal RNA
Rfam family: 5.8S ribosomal RNA
About the family: 5.8S ribosomal RNA (5.8S rRNA) is a component of the large subunit of the eukaryotic ribosome.
Source: Rfam by way of RNAcentral
GACUCUCGGCAACGGAUAUCUCGGCUCUCGCAUCGAUGAAGAACGUAGCGAAAUGCGAUACUUGGUGUGAAUUGCAGAAUCCCGUGAACCAUCGAGUUUGAACGCAAGUUGCGCCCGAAGCCGUUAGGCCGAGGGCA